GGUGUGCUUCAUGACUGGGGUAAAGUCGGUAACAAGGUAGCCAUAGGGGAACCUGUGGCUGGAUCACCUCCGUUU
RNAcentral lists this ribosomal RNA (75 nucleotides) under uncultured bacterium. RNAcentral describes it as "partial 16S ribosomal RNA". It matches the Rfam family "Bacterial small subunit ribosomal RNA", at positions 1461 to 1533 of the family's 1533-position model. The record is from RNAcentral.